This 87-nucleotide ribosomal RNA is filed under the name Veratrilla baillonii. RNAcentral's name for it is "partial 5.8S ribosomal RNA". It matches the Rfam family "5.8S ribosomal RNA", at positions 73 to 154 of the family's 154-position model. Rfam says of the family: 5.8S ribosomal RNA (5.8S rRNA) is a component of the large subunit of the eukaryotic ribosome. It is transcribed by RNA polymerase I as part of the 45S precursor that also contains 18S and 28S rRNA. Functionally, it is thought that 5.8S rRNA may be involved in ribosome translocation. Lineage: Eukaryota; Viridiplantae; Streptophyta; Magnoliopsida; Gentianales; Gentianaceae. The record is from RNAcentral.
UGCAGAAUCCCGUGAACCAUCGAGUCUUUGAACGCAAGUUGCGCCCGAAGCCAUUAGGCCUAGGGCACGUCUGCCUGGGCGUCACGC